RNAcentral lists this ribosomal RNA (385 nucleotides) under uncultured bacterium. RNAcentral describes it as "bacterial SSU rRNA". It matches the Rfam family "Bacterial small subunit ribosomal RNA", at positions 30 to 417 of the family's 1533-position model. The record is from RNAcentral.
AUUGAACGCUGGCGGCAUGCCUUACACAUGCAAGUCGAACGGCAGCACGGACUUCGGUCUGGUGGCGAGUGGCGAACGGGUGAGUAAUGCAUCGGAACGUGCCAUUGAGUGGGGGAUAACGUAGCGAAAGUUGCGCUAAUACCGCAUAUUCUGUGAGCAGGAAAGCAGGGGACCGCAAGGCCUUGCGCUCUUUGAGCGGCCGAUGUCAGAUUAGCUAGUUGGUGAGGUAAAGGCUUACCAAGGCGACGAUCUGUAGCGGGUCUGAGAGGAUGAUCCGCCACACUGGAACUGAGACACGGUCCAGACUCUACGGAGGCAGCAGUGGGGAAUUUUGGACAAUGGGGGCAACCCUGAUCCAGCCAUGCCGCGUGAGUGAAGAAGGCCU